RNAcentral lists this long non-coding RNA (2406 nucleotides) under Nicotiana benthamiana. Its description in RNAcentral is "long non-coding RNA (NBEN_LNC036886)". The record is from RNAcentral. Lineage: Eukaryota; Viridiplantae; Streptophyta; Magnoliopsida; Solanales; Solanaceae.
AAUCCUAAUUUGUCUGUUCCUCUUGGGGAUCCUUCUGCCAGCCACAUAGAUGGUCACAGUUAUGUGAUACCAGGGUUGAGCAGACAUCACUAUGAUCAAUCGAUGAACCUGUUGCAACAGACCAAGUUAGGAGAUUCCAGUGAUCAAGCUCCUCCUCCCAUGUGUGCUGCUAAUUUUGCUGGUACAAUGUUGACUGAGAGUCUUGUUUCUGUUUCCAAAUUGUGCAUGCUUACAUACAUUAAUUCUGUCACCUUGAUCAUUGAUUCAGGGGCAUCUAACCAGAUGACACAUGAUAAAAACCUACUUUUUAACAUCAUACCUUUGACUGUUCCUUAUCUUGUGACUUUACCUAAUGGUUACAAAGUAAAAGUAACUUGUACAGGUUCUUUUUCAUUAACUUCUUCCCCUACUCUUUGACUGUUCCUUAUCUUGUGACUUUACCUAAUGGUUACAAAGUAAAAGUAACUUGUACAGGUUCUUUUUCAUUAACUUCUUCCCUUACUCUUCAUAAUGUGCUUCUGGUUCCUUCCUUUAAACACAACUUGAUUUUUGUUCACAAGUUGAUUAAACAGUUGCACUGUAUAGUUUUGUUCACUCUAACUUCCUGUUUACUUCACAUGAUACAGGACUCUUCUCUGAAGAGGCCUCUGGAUCUUGGUAAAGAGGAAGCUGGCUUAUACAAACUGUCUUGGUUGCCUCCUUCCUCUUCUCCCUCUUCUGUUUCUCCUUUUACUUCUGUGUGUGCUUUGUCUAAUUUUUGUAAUGAUGACACUUUUUCUGACAGCAAAAAUGUUGCCUUACCUCCACUUGUAAGCAAUUCCACUUGUAAUAAUGCUGUUAUCAAUGAUAUGAAUUACAUUUGGCAUUUAAGAAUGGCACAUACUCCCUGUGCUAAUAUGAGACAUAUUGCUGGUUUGUCUUUUCCCCUUGCUCCUAAACAACCCUUUCCCUGUUCUGUCUGCCCUAUGGCAAAGCAGACAAGACUUCCCUUUCAUGACAGCAGUAUCAGUACAACUAGACCAUUUCAAUUAAUACAUGUGGACACUUGGGGACCUUACCACACUUCUACCUCUUCUGGUUAUAAAUAGUUCCUUACUAUAGUUGAUGACUUUUCUAGGGCAACCUGGACACACUUAAUGGGCUCCAAAAGCAAUGCCUUUUCUCUUCUUAAGUCUUUCAUUUCCUUUGUUAAGACUCUGUUUAACUCUGUGGUUCAGACUGUCAGAAGUAACAAUGCCUUAGAAUGGGCUCCAGCACUGAGGGCAUAUCCUUUUUUAGUAGCCAGGGGAUUAUUCAUCAAACUUCUUACCCUCAUUCACCUCAACAGAAUGGUGUUGUAGAAUGAAAACACAGAACACUUCUUGAAACAUGUAGAGCCCUGCUUUUUCAGUCUGGCCUACCUGUGUCCUUCUGGGGGGAUUGACUGCUAACUGCCUCCUAUCUUCUUAACAGAAUACCUUCCAGAAUCCUUCACCAUAAGUCUCCCCAUGAAAUUUUGUAUGGCAAAGCUCCAUCAUAUUCCCAUUUGGAAUUCUUCACCAUAAGUCUCCCCAUGAAAUUUUGUAUGGCAAAGCUCCAUCCUAUUCUCAUUUGAGAGCAUUUGGAUGCCUUGCUUAUGCUGUUGUCCCUAUCCCUAAAAGGGACAAGAUGAAACCUAGAGCCCAUUCUUGUGUGUUUCUGGGUUACCCCUUUGCUAAGAAGGGUUAUAAACUGUAUGACUUGGUUACCGAGAAGUGUUUUGUUUUAAGGGAUGUUGUCUUUCAUGAAUCCUGUUUUCCUUUUUAGAAUAAUCCUACUUUUGUUCAUCCUUCUUCUUCCUCUGUUCCUCCUGUUCCUCCUGCUGAUGAUUUUACUGUCUCAGGCUUUCCUCUCUUUACUUCCCCUGAUUCUCCUGUCCUUCCUUCUAAUUCUGAUUCUCCUGCACCUACUUUUCCUGAUGCUGGUCCUUCUUCCCUUCCUUCUUUCAAUCCUGAUCUCUCAGCUCCUCUGUAACCUGCUUCUCAUCCUCUUCCCACUUCUCGAAAGUCUACUAGACAGCAUAAUCCUCCUUCCUACCUCAAGGAUUAUGUUUUCUCAUCCUCUUCCCACUUCUAGAAAGUCUACUAGACAGCAUAAUCCUACUUCCUACCUCAAGGAUUAUGUUUUUCAACUCCCUGCAUUUUCUGGUUCUUCUUCCUCCACUUUGGAAUUUGAACCUAUGUAUUACUCUCAAGCUGCAUCUGCCCCAGCAUGGCAGGAUGCAAUGAGACAGGAGUUUGCUGCACUAGAAGCAAAUCAUACUUGGGAUAUUGUCCCUCUUCCUGCUGGUAAGAAACCCAUUGAUUGUAAGUGGGUCUAUAAAAUCAAAUACAAGUCUGAUGGACUUGUUGAAAGGUAUAAAGCAAGGUUGGUUAUUAGGGGUGAUAC